AUUGAACGCUGGCGGCAGGCCUAACACAUGCAAGUCGAGCGGAUGAAGGGAGCUUGCUCCUGGAUUCAGCGGCGGACGGGUGAGUAAUGCCUAGGAAUCUGCCUGGUAGUGGGGGAUAACGUCCGGAAACGGGCGCUAAUACCGCAUACGUCCUGAGGGAGAAAGUGGGGGAUCUUCGGACCUCACGCUAUCAGAUGAGCCUAGGUCGGAUUAGCUAGUUGGUGGGGUAAAGGCCUACCAAGGCGACGAUCCGUAACUGGACUGAGAGGAUGAUCAGUCACACUGGAGCUGGGACACGGUCCAGACUCCUACGGGAGGCAGCAGUGGGGAAUAUUGGACAAUGGGCGAAAGCCUGAUCCAGCCAUGCCGCGUGUGUGAAGAAGGUCUUCGGAUUGUAAAGCACUUUAAGUUGGGAGGAAGGGCAGUAAGUUAAUACCUUGCUGUUUUGACGUUACCAACAGAAUAAGCACCGGCUAACUUCGUG
RNAcentral lists this ribosomal RNA (484 nucleotides) under uncultured bacterium. RNAcentral describes it as "partial 16S ribosomal RNA". It matches the Rfam family "Bacterial small subunit ribosomal RNA", at positions 30 to 507 of the family's 1533-position model. The record is from RNAcentral.